UACGAAGGGGGCUAGCGUUGCUCGGAAUCACUGGGCGUAAAGGGUGCGUAGGCGGGUCUUUAAGUCAGGGGUGAAAUCCUGGAGCUCAACUCCAGAACUGCCUUUGAUACUGAGGAUCUUGAGUUCGGGAGAGGUGAGUGGAACUGCGAGUGUAGAGGUGAAAUUCGUAGAUAUUCGCAAGAACACCAGUGGCGAAGGCGGCUUACUGGACCAUAACUGACGCUGAUGCACGAAAGCUGGGGGAGCAAACAGG
This 253-nucleotide ribosomal RNA is filed under the name uncultured bacterium. RNAcentral describes it as "partial 16S ribosomal RNA". It matches the Rfam family "Bacterial small subunit ribosomal RNA", at positions 524 to 776 of the family's 1533-position model. The record is from RNAcentral.